GCCCCGCAGCGGCCGGGGGAGGAGCCGGGGCUGUGCGGGAGGAGUCGCAAGCGGCGGAGGCCGGGCGGGCUCGCGGCACAGCCAUGGCGUUCGGUAGGAGUCACCGGGACCCGUACGCGAGCUCCCUGGGCCAGCUAAUAGAGAAGGCUACGUUUGCUGGAGUGCAGACAGAAGACUGGGGCCAGUUCAUGCACAUCUGUGACAUAAUUAACACCACCCACGAUGGGCCAAAAGAUGCAGUAAAAGCUUUGAAGAAAAGGAUUUCCAAAAACUACAAUCACAAAGAAAUCCAACUCACCUUGUCACUUAUUGACAUGUGCAUGCAGAACUGUGGUCCGAGUUUCCAGUCUCUGAUUGUGAAGAAGGAAUUUGUUAAAGAUAGUCUAGUUAAGCUGCUGAAUCCCAGAUACACCUUGCCGAUAGACACUCAGAAUAGAAUUUUGAAUUUCAUUAAGACGUGGUCGCAGGGUUUCCCAGGAGGUGUGGAUGUCAGUGAAGUGAAAGACGUGUACCUGGACCUCCUUAAGAAAGGGGUUCAGUUUCCUUCAUCAGAUGCAGAGACUGAAACAGCCAGACAAGAGAUGGCACUGAAUCCACCACCAUCUGUUCCUUCUGCACCAGCUCUUCCUUCUGUGGUUCCCAAGAUCUCCACUAUUACACUGGUCCCAGAACAGAUUGGAAAACUGCACAGUGAAUUGGAUAUGGUGAAAAUGAAUGUGAGAGUGAUGUCUGCCAUACUGAUGGAGAAUAUUCCUGGUUCUGAGAACCAUGAAGACAUAGAGCUUCUGCAGAAACUUUACAAGACGGGUCGGGAGAUGCAGGAGAGGAUCAUGGACCUGCUUGUGGUGGUGGAGAAUGAAGACGUUACUGCUGAGCUGAUUCAAGUGAACGAGGAUUUGAACAAUGCCAUCCUUGGGUGUGAGAGGUUUACUCGAAACCAACAAAGGAUUUUGGAGCAAAAUAAGAACCAGAGGGAAGAUGCCAAUACUACCAGUGAACCUUCCGCCCCAUCCUCAGAUCUCCUUGACCUGAGUCCCAGCCUUCCAAUGCCUAGGACCACCCUGGGAGAAGUCAGCACCCUGAAUGCUCAGCUUUCAGACUUAAAUUUCAGCUCUCUGAGUCCAGCUGUACCAAACAACUUCAAACCCAGUCUUAAUACACAGGUGGAUCUGCUAGCCUUGGAAAAUACAGAAACACCCCUGUUUGCCCAAAGGACCAGCCAAAACCUCGCCUCAAGUCAUACAUACGAGAGUUUUCUGGAACAUUCAAAUUCAGUAUUACUGCAGCCAGUUAGCCUACAGACCGUUCCAGCAACACCAUCAAACCAGAGACUGCCACCUCUGCCCAGCAAUCAUCCAGCGAUGACAAAGAAUGACCUCCAGCCACCCAGUUACUGUGAAGUAAUGGAGUUUGACCCCUUAGCUCCUGCCGUCACCACAGAAGCUAUUUAUGAAGACAUUGAUGUUCACCCACCACAAAGGAGCUCAAAGUCACAGUGAUUGUUGAGGUGGAAACGGAUGACCAGUUCACUGGCAGCGUUAUGGGUGCCAAUUUUCCAAAAGGGGGACCCUGUCCAGCUUUUAGACCCAGAAGUUAAGACCUUCCCAAACCUCAAAACCACAGUGGAACAUUUUUCCUCUGCAUUAACGUGGUUUAGACAGAAGAGUCACAGUUCCAGAGUAACAUAUAUGGUUUCUGACAGCAGCUUGAGCUUUCUAUCAGAAGAACUUGGUUGUGACAUAUAGUCCCUUAAAACUGAGGCAGAACAAAAGUUCAUGGUACUUAGGCCAACCAGGUUAAGUGCAGCACCUUGUGUUUUCACAGGCCUUCUUACAUUUAGAAUCAUCACAGGAGAUGGGGCAAGAGUGGAUGAAGACUGUUUCAGGACAAAAUAAUUGUUAGUACCCUCAAGAGGUCACUGGAUUCUACAUUGGUUGCCUUUAAAUACAAUUCUUUGUAACACUAAAUGGUCGUUUUUGUCUUUUUGGAAGAAAGUCUACUGGAAAACAUUCAGGAUAAUUUGUACUUUCCUUUGUCAUAAAUUAUAAUAACAAAUGAACUACUAUUAAAACAGUUCAAGAACUUUUUUUUUUUU
Molecule: RNA transcript, 2095 nt
Organism: Dama dama (fallow deer)
Lineage: Eukaryota; Metazoa; Chordata; Mammalia; Artiodactyla; Cervidae
Gene: TOM1L1
Gene name: target of myb1 like 1 membrane trafficking protein
Exons: 17
Source: RefSeq, a predicted model, not a curated record